Molecule: ribosomal RNA, 253 nt
Filed under: uncultured bacterium
Lineage: Bacteria
Description: partial 16S ribosomal RNA
Rfam family: Bacterial small subunit ribosomal RNA
Source: RNAcentral
UACGUAGGGACCAAGCGUUGUUCGGAUUUACUGGGCGUAAAGGGCGCGUAGGCGGCGCGGUAAGUCACUUGUGAAAUCUCUGAGCUUAACUCAGAACGGCCAAGUGAUACUGCAGUGCUAGAGUGUGGAAGGGGCAAUCGGAAUUCUUGGUGUAGCGGUGAAAUGCGUAGAUAUCAAGCAGAACACCUGCGGCGAAGGCGGCCUUCUGGACGACGACUGACGCUGAGACGCGAAAGCGUGGGGAGCAAACAGG